UGCUCGAGUGGCGAACGGGUGAGUAACACGUGGGUGAUCUGCCCUGCACUUUGGGAUAAGCCUGGGAAACUGGGUCUAAUACCGGAUAGGACCACGGUCUGCAUGGAUUGUGGUGGAAAGCUUUUGCGGUGUGGGAUGGGCCCGCGGCCUAUCAGCUUGUUGGUGGGGUGAUGGCCUACCAAGGCGACGACGGGUAGCCGGCCUGAGAGGGUGACCGGCCACACUGGGACUGAGAUACGGCCCAGACUCCUACGGGAGGCAGCAGUGGGGAAUAUUGCACAAUGGGCGCAAGCCUGAUGCAGCGACGCCGCGUGAGGGAUGACGGCCUUCGGGUUGUAAACCUCUUUCAGCACAGACGAAGCGCAAGUGACGGUAUGUGCAGAAGAAGGACCGGCCAACUACGUGCCAGCAGCCGCGGUAAUACGUAGGGUCCGAGCGUUGUCCGGAAUUACUGGGCGUAAAGAGCUCGUAGGUGGUUUGUCGCGUUGUUCGUGAAAACUCACAGCUUAACUGUGGGCGUGCGGGCGAUACGGGCAGACUGGAGUACUGCAGGGGAGACUGGAAUUCCUGGUGUAGCGGUGGAAUGCGCAGAUAUCAGGAGGAACACCGGUGGCGAAGGCGGGUCUCUGGGCAGUAACUGACGCUGAGGAGCGAAAGCGUGGGGAGCGAACAGGAUUAGAUACCCUGGUAGUCCACGCCGUAAACGGUGGGUACUAGGUGUGGGUUUCCUUCCUUGGGAUCCGUGCCGUAGCUAACGCAUUAAGUACCCCGCCUGGGGAGUACGGCCGCAAGGCUAAAACUCAAAGGAAUUGACGGGGGCCCGCACAAGCGGCGGAGCAUGUGGAUUAAUUCGAUGCAACGCGAAGAACCUUACCUGGGUUUGACAUGCACAGGACGCCGGCAGAGAUGUCGGUUCCCUUGUGGCCUGUGUGCAGGUGGUGCAUGGCUGUCGUCAGCUCGUGUCGUGAGAUGUUGGGUUAAGUCCCGCAACGAGCGCAACCCUUGUCUCAUGUUGCCAGCACGUAAUGGUGGGGACUCGUGAGAGACUGCCGGGGUCAACUCGGAGGAAGGUGGGGAUGACGUCAAGUCAUCAUGCCCCUUAUGUCCAGGGCUUCACACAUGCUACAAUGGCCGGUACAAAGGGCUGCGAUGCCGUGAGGUGGAGCGAAUCCUUUCAAAGCCGGUCUCAGUUCGGAUCGGGGUCUGCAACUCGACCCCGUGAAGUCGGAGUCGCUAGUAAUCGCAGAUCAGCAACGCUGCGGUGAAUACGUUCCCGGGCCUUGUACACACCGCCCGUCACGUCAUGAAAGUCGGUAACACCCGAAGCCGGUGGCCUAACCCCUUGUGGGAGGGAGCCGUC
RNAcentral lists this ribosomal RNA (1360 nucleotides) under Mycolicibacterium peregrinum. RNAcentral's name for it is "bacterial SSU rRNA". It matches the Rfam family "Bacterial small subunit ribosomal RNA", at positions 88 to 1457 of the family's 1533-position model. The record is from RNAcentral. Lineage: Bacteria; Bacillati; Actinomycetota; Actinomycetes; Mycobacteriales; Mycobacteriaceae.